Non-coding RNA from Podarcis lilfordi (Lilford's wall lizard), 78 nucleotides. NCBI's taxonomy places the organism in Eukaryota, Metazoa, Chordata, Lepidosauria, Squamata, Lacertidae. The record is from the annotation of a GenBank genome assembly.
AUAUUUUAAAUAGCUCAGUUGGUGGACCAUGAGACUCUUAAUGUCAGGGUCGUGGGUUUGAGCCCCAGGCAGAAGAUU